This 268-nucleotide ribosomal RNA is filed under the name uncultured Pseudomonas sp. Its description in RNAcentral is "partial 16S ribosomal RNA". It matches the Rfam family "Bacterial small subunit ribosomal RNA", at positions 1115 to 1382 of the family's 1533-position model. Lineage: Bacteria; Pseudomonadati; Pseudomonadota; Gammaproteobacteria; Pseudomonadales; Pseudomonadaceae. The record is from RNAcentral.
UUACCAGCACGGUAAUGGUGGGCACUCUAAGGAGACUGCCGGUGACAAACCGGAGGAAGGUGGGGAUGACGUCAAGUCAUCAUGGCCUUACGGCCAGGGCUACACACGUGCUACAAUGGUCGGUACAAAGGGUUGCCAAGCCGCGAGGUGGAGCUAAUCCCAUAAAACCGAUCGUAGUCCGGAUCGCAGUCUGCAACUCGACUGCGUGAAGUCGGAAUCGCUAGUAAUCGUGAAUCAGAAUGUCACGGUGAAUACGUUCCCGGGCCUU